CAUCAACUCACAUUCCAUCACAGACUGUUUCCCCCUUGUAUUUAGUUCUCCACACCAAGCCCUGUGAAGCCCUCGUCUGCUUCCCCCCCAUCCUGGAUUUCCCCCUCUUGGACUCUGUUUUGCUCCGAUCUGUUCAUGGAUAUUCCCCAGCCUUCUGUCUGCCAGUUUUCUUCCCCCCACUAACUUCUGGAUUCCCUGAGCCUGCCUGCUUUGCCCCCUUAGUUCUCUUUCCCCUGGUUUUGUACAAGGCGCUGCAUGCUGAGGAGGAAACAGCUGCAGCGAACCACAGUGUUGACCGAACAGAGCAGAACAGGACGUAUAGCUGGGCUAUUUGUGUCCCAUCCUGUCAACGCAAUCUUCAAAGUCCAACACGGGUCUCCUGAGGUUUUCCAUGACGGCACUUUUAUUCUCGCCUGCUGAGCCCCUCACUGGGCAGGAGGAAACUCUAGACCAGACCCUUUACCAGCUCUGAGCUCCUCUGCUGUCUUUCAUCAUCCCUUCUCUCUGUUUCUCUAAUAAAAGAAUCAUUCGCCGCUUGAACCGACUUAAAAGGAAAGAGACAAUUUGCUAAUGAUUCUCCUUAAAUCCUCGCUGGUGACUUGAAUUGACCCUGUGCUUUAUUUUGAAAUGUAUUUGUUUUGAUGCUGGUCAACCUCAGAGGGCACAUUUAACAAGAGUCAGACAUCUCUUUCUGCAGGCUGUUUCGUGACAAAUUGCAACAAUGAUGCAUUUGUACCAUUAGCUGCAGAGACAAGGAAAACCUUAACCCAGUUUACCCAACAUUUGUAUGCUGUUUUUUUUUCUAUCCACCUUUUGACAGAUAAAACUUUAAAGCUGAGCAUUUCUAAUGCUUGCUCUUAUUGUCUGUUCCUUUAGUGUUUGCUGUCAAAAAAUACUGAGAUUCAGCAGUAAAUGAACAAGGGCUCUGUUGAUGUAGUGAGGAUGAGAUUGUUGAUUUUUAAGUCAGAGUAUGUCCAGCUGUCUUU
Molecule: long non-coding RNA, 986 nt
Organism: Amphiprion ocellaris (clown anemonefish)
Lineage: Eukaryota; Metazoa; Chordata; Actinopteri; Pomacentridae
Source: Ensembl